UACGUAGGGUGCAAGCGUUGUCCGGAAUUAUUGGGCGUAAAGAGCUCGUAGGCGGUCUGUCGCGUCUGCUGUGAAAACUCAGGGCUUAACCCUGAGCUUGCAGUGGGUACGGGCAGACUAGAGUGCGGUAGGGGAGACUGGAAUUCCUGGUGUAGCGGUGAAAUGCGCAGAUAUCAGGAGGAACACCGGUGGCGAAGGCGGCAUCCUGGACCAACACUG
RNAcentral lists this ribosomal RNA (219 nucleotides) under uncultured bacterium. RNAcentral's name for it is "partial 16S ribosomal RNA". It matches the Rfam family "Bacterial small subunit ribosomal RNA", at positions 524 to 742 of the family's 1533-position model. The record is from RNAcentral.